GUUUGACCUCAAAUCAGGUAGGAAUACCCGCUGAACUUAAGCAUAUCAAUAAGCGGAGGAAAAGAAACCAACAGGGAUUGCCUUAGUAGCGGCGAGUGAAGCGGCAAAAGCUCAAAUUUGAAAUCUGGCACCUUCGGUGUCCGAGUUGUAAUUUGAAGAUUGUAACCUUGGGGUUGGCUCUUGUCUAUGUUUCUUGGAAACAGGACGUCACAGAGGGUGAGAAUCCCGUGCGAUGAGAUGCCCAAUCCUAUGUAAGGUGCUUUCGAAGAGUCGAGUUGUUGG
Molecule: ribosomal RNA, 282 nt
Filed under: Meyerozyma caribbica
Lineage: Eukaryota; Fungi; Ascomycota; Pichiomycetes; Serinales; Debaryomycetaceae
Description: partial 28S ribosomal RNA
Rfam family: Eukaryotic large subunit ribosomal RNA
Source: RNAcentral